Molecule: long non-coding RNA, 664 nt
Organism: Xiphophorus couchianus (Monterrey platyfish)
Lineage: Eukaryota; Metazoa; Chordata; Actinopteri; Cyprinodontiformes; Poeciliidae
Exons: 3
Source: RefSeq, a predicted model, not a curated record
AAGUCACUGAGUUGGCAGCAGUGGGUUGAAUAUUAUUACUGAAAACAUGCAGAAAUGACCUGGUGGGCCGGUCUGUCACAAGACGCAGCAGAUGAGGCAGUGGCUGAUUUCUAAGCUCUGUUCAGACUGAGAGGAGAAUUUGGACAGGAGUGACAAAGUGACUGAGGCGAUAUGCUUUUCUUAACCUGCAGAAGCUCAGCAAAGGGAGGCAAGUUUACAAGCAGCAAGCAGAUAGAGCAUCAUCCUGCGGAUCAAAUCAGAAGAUGGCGGCGAGGUUUAGGAAGGGGGUGUGAAGACACGGGGGUAAACUGUUUACGACAGCAGCUGAUGACUGGAUUCCUAUUUCACAUUCAACAUUUACAAGGUGGACCUCUGCAGCCAGAAGAUGGCCAAACACUCCAGGUAAUGGCAUGCUGCUGCUGAAAAUGACAUGUUGUCAGAGCGAGGAAGCAGGCAUGCCUCCCAUUUCAAUUUCCCAUCUUGAGUGCAUUCUUCCACAAACACACAGGUGGUUUUUUAUGAUCAAAACUUUGGGAUGACAAAGACGAAUAGGCCCAUAUCAACACUCGGUAUCACAGAGCAAAAUCUAACCACAAACAAAAAGUCCUGAAAGAAAAUUUCAGAACCGCACUUGCAUUUGCAAUAAACGUUUGCCUCAACCCUG